AGGUUAAUAGCUCACUGGUGGAGCAGGUGCUUAGCAUGCAUGAGGUCCUGGGUUCAAUCCCCAGUACCUC
RNAcentral lists this transfer RNA (70 nucleotides) under Camelus bactrianus (Bactrian camel). It matches the Rfam family "tRNA". From Rfam's summary of the family: Transfer RNA (tRNA) molecules are approximately 80 nucleotides in length. Their secondary structure includes four short double-helical elements and three loops (D, anti-codon, and T loops). The record is from Rfam by way of RNAcentral. RNAcentral also lists the same sequence under 1 other name. Lineage: Eukaryota; Metazoa; Chordata; Mammalia; Artiodactyla; Camelidae.